Long non-coding RNA from Dermochelys coriacea (leatherback sea turtle), 578 nucleotides. RefSeq lists it as uncharacterized. The record is from RefSeq and is a predicted model, not a curated record. Lineage: Eukaryota; Metazoa; Chordata; Testudines; Dermochelyidae. The transcript is spliced from 3 exons.
GGUGGGCAGGACACCAGCAGAAGAGGGUGCACUGGUUAGCAGAGCUGAUCCCCGGGACAUCCAUCAGGCAGCACCACAGUGGUGGUAGAUGAGAUGACUGACCUGCUGGUUAGAGUGGAACUGACUAGCGGUUGUCUCUGGGGCAACUGUACACCUGUUUUUGCAAAAGACAUCUGCUUCUUCUGCAGUCCAACAGGAAUCUUUUUUAAGAUUGAAGAAAAUGAAUGUGUUCAGCUGGUACUGUGAUGUUUGAGUAUGAAGAGAGAAAGGUAUCUUCAGCUGUUGUCAGUACUCUCUGUGUGUGCAUGCAUGCCAUAAUUGUGACAGCUCAGAGUUUGGGGAAUGCACGCUCUGCCAAAUAUGACAAUACUGUUUGGGAGCUGACACAGGAGUAAAUAUUGUAAAGUACUGCAGCAUACGUGCAUAUCUGCAGGAUAUCGUUUUCCUUACUGAUCUGAGUAUGCAGAGACCCAACCAUAUUCCCAUUAGACUGGUCAUGCCCAGCACAUGGCUCUUUGGGGUUCCACAUGGCUCUUUUGAGUUCUCCAGUAUGAUUACAGCCUCGCACGUGCUCCCUG